Hypoxylon trugodes is the source of this 81-nucleotide non-coding RNA. Lineage: Eukaryota; Fungi; Ascomycota; Sordariomycetes; Xylariales; Hypoxylaceae. The record is from the annotation of a RefSeq genome assembly.
ACUCUCUUAGCUAAGUGGUAAAGCUCAUCACUUCUACGAAAGUAGAUGAUGUGAUCACUGGUUCGAUUCCAGUAGAGAUAU